This is a non-coding RNA of Arachis ipaensis, 534 nucleotides long. The record is from RefSeq and is a predicted model, not a curated record. Lineage: Eukaryota; Viridiplantae; Streptophyta; Magnoliopsida; Fabales; Fabaceae.
UUCCCCUUCGCAGAUUGCCGCCGUCUUUGGAGCAGAGCGAAAGAGAUCUCACGGUGGAGGAAACAGGGAGGCGCCGCCGUGCAGCGAGAAGCUACCGCCGCCGUGAAGUUACCACCGCCGUUGCGCGCUCCGUCACCGCUACUGCUGGGGCUGCGCCGCCGUGACCGAGCUUCUACCGCUCGAAACCCGCCGCCAUUGCCACUAGAAAUCGCCACCAAGGCCUAAGUCAGUUUGGACCAUCAGAGCUUCCGGCCGUUAUUGGAGCUGUUGUCCGGUCAAUUUAGAAGCUGCUACUGUGUCGUUCUAUUCUGUUUAUCAUGAUAUGUGGUUGUUGCUGUGAUCCCUGCGGUUGAUUGGGAAUUUCUGCGGUUGCUGCCGAUUAACAUGAGAAUAAGGAUUUAAUGGGUUUAAUUAUGCAACUUGCGACUAAUUGAGCUUUACCCUUUUCAGGAACCAAAUGAAGAGGCAUUAAGGAGAGUUAUACUGCGUUUGGUUUAUAUGUUGUUGUAUUAAUUAGAUUAUUUUCUUCCCUCA